Molecule: ribosomal RNA, 253 nt
Filed under: uncultured bacterium
Lineage: Bacteria
Description: partial 16S ribosomal RNA
Rfam family: Bacterial small subunit ribosomal RNA
Source: RNAcentral
UACGUAGGGCGCAAGCGUUGUCCGGAAUUAUUGGGCGUAAAGAGCUCGUAGGCGGUUUGUCGCGUCUGCUGUGAAAACCUAAGGCUCAACCUUGGGCUUGCAGUGGGUACGGGCAGACUAGAGUGCGGUAGGGGUGACUGGAAUUCCUGGUGUAGCGGUGGAAUGCGCAGAUAUCAGGAGGAACACCGAUGGCGAAGGCAGGUCACUGGGCCGCAACUGACGCUGAGGCACGAAAGCGUGGGGAUCAAACAGG